UGCCUGUCUACAUUCUUCCUCAGUGGUCAAU
Molecule: non-coding RNA, 31 nt
Filed under: Mus musculus (house mouse)
Lineage: Eukaryota; Metazoa; Chordata; Mammalia; Rodentia; Muridae
Source: RNAcentral